CACCACACCUGUCUUUGGGAUGAACCCUGACCUGUGUGAUGCAGGCUGCUUUGAUCACAGCCCCUGGUCAUUGUGAUGGGUGGCCAGCUCACCUCCCGGGUGUCUGCCCCUGACUCAGCCUCUCAGAGCAAGUCACUGAUGUUCCAGCACACCUGAGCCAGCAUGAGCUCUAGCAGCAGCAUUGCAAGGUACAUGGGAGGCAUGGCCUUUACGGUGCUCUACAGCCGGUCGUUUCCAGGAAAGGAAGGAUGGCUAUAAUCCAAAAGUGAAACGUAAUAAAUGUCGACAAAGAUACGGAGAAACUGGAGCCCUUGUGUGCCCCUGGUGGGAAUCGGAAGGUGGCACAGCCACUGUGGAAGACAAGAUGGCGGUUC
Prionailurus viverrinus (fishing cat) is the source of this 374-nucleotide long non-coding RNA. RefSeq lists it as uncharacterized. The record is from RefSeq and is a predicted model, not a curated record. The transcript has 2 exons. Lineage: Eukaryota; Metazoa; Chordata; Mammalia; Carnivora; Felidae.